AAAAAAUGGCAACUGUGUGUCUCUCAAAUCCUAAAUCUUUUCUUCCAUCAUCUUCAUUUUCCACUAGAAAACAAAUAAUUUUGUGCAAAGCAGAGAAUAAUGUAUGUAAUUUUAGUUCAAUUAUUAGCAAGAGAAGUCUAUCAAUUAGCCUUGCAUCAAGUUUGUUGCUUUCUUUAACUGGAAAUGGAACUUUUAAUGCAAAUGCUGCAAUUUUAGAAGCUGAUGAGGAUGAUGAGUUGAUGGAAAAAGUUAAAAAGGAUAGAAAAAAAAGGCUUGAAAGACAAGGCAUUGUCAAUUCCUCCUCAAAGGAAAAAGGAUACUUGCAAGAUUUGGUAUACAAGCUCAGUAAAGUAGGCCAAGCUAUAGAGAAAAAUGAUUUAUCUGCAGCAAGUUCAGUUCUUGGCCAAAACACUGAUGCAGAUUGGUUGCAGAAAGUUAAUUCAGCACUCAACAAGUUUAGUGGUAGCGAUGAGGAGAAGUCAGAGAUCGAUUCCUUCAAUUCUUCGCUAUCUUCUCUUGUUUCAUCAGUUACUAAGAAUGACAUUGAAGGAUCAAAAACAGCUUUUGUGGCAUCAGCUAGUGCAUUUGAGAAAUGGACAACAUUAACAGGGUUGAUUGAAGAGCUAAAAGGGCUUUGAAGCGAAAAAAGAAAUUAGUAUAUUAUAUGAGAAUUUGGUCUAUAUCAACAUGUUUUUACCUUUUAACUUUCUUUUACUGUUUGUGUAACCACAAAGUAAUAAUUCUUUUACAUUGUCUUUUUUUCCUAUGUCAAAUGAAUCAUU
RNAcentral lists this unclassified non-coding RNA (782 nucleotides) under Hevea brasiliensis (rubber tree). Lineage: Eukaryota; Viridiplantae; Streptophyta; Magnoliopsida; Malpighiales; Euphorbiaceae. The record is from RNAcentral.